This 253-nucleotide ribosomal RNA is filed under the name uncultured bacterium. RNAcentral describes it as "partial 16S ribosomal RNA". It matches the Rfam family "Bacterial small subunit ribosomal RNA", at positions 524 to 776 of the family's 1533-position model. The record is from RNAcentral.
UACGUAGGGGGCAAGCGUUGUCCGGAUUCAUUGGGCGUAAAGAGCGUGUAGGCGGCCAGGUAGGUCGGUUGUGAAAACUGGAGGCUCAACCUUCAGACGUCGACCGAAACCAUCUGGCUAGAGUCCGGGAGAGGAGAGUGGAAUUCCUGGUGUAGCGGUGAAAUGCGCAGAUAUCAGGAAGAACACCCGUGGCGAAAGCGGCUCUCUGGAACGGUACUGACGCUGAGGAGCGAAAGCGUGGGGAGCGAACAGG